UAAAGCUAAAGACCUUCUAAGCCGUCACACGCACACCGAAGGCACGAGACCCCAACACGAAAGUAGCUUUACUAUUACCCCUGACGCCACGAAAGCUAAGAAACAAACUGGGAUUAGAUACCCCACUAUGCUUAGCCUUAAACCUAGAUGUUAAGCCCACAAACAACAUCCGCCAGGGUACUACGAGCGCUAGCUUAAAACCCAAAGGACUUGACGGUGUCUCAGACCCACCUAGAGGAGCCUGUUCUAGAACCGAUAAUCCCCGUUCAACCUCACCACCCCUUGCUUUUCCCGCCUAUAUACCGCCGUCGCAAGCUUACCCUGUGAAGGGCCUACAGUAAGCAAAAUGAGUACAACCCAAAACGUCAGGUCGAGGUGUAGCUCACGAGGUGGAAAGAAAUGGGCUACAUUUUCUUCAACAGAAUAUUACGGACAACACUAUGAAACCAGUGUUUUAAGGUGGAUUUAGUAGUAAAAAACAAAUAGAGUGUGUUUUUGAACCAGGCUCUGAGACGCGCACACACCGCCCGUCACUC
RNAcentral lists this ribosomal RNA (536 nucleotides) under Leporinus taeniatus. Its description in RNAcentral is "partial small subunit ribosomal RNA". It matches the Rfam family "Bacterial small subunit ribosomal RNA", at positions 657 to 1402 of the family's 1533-position model. Lineage: Eukaryota; Metazoa; Chordata; Actinopteri; Characiformes; Anostomidae. The record is from RNAcentral.